CAUCCGACACACUACUCACGCAGUGACCAGGCUGCUCCUUGGGGUGUUAACUUCCUGCCAGGAAGUGGACGCACCCACCAGGGCACUUUUCUGACAACGCUGUCUGUGAAAUACAUGGAAGCAUUUCCUGCCUCUGCGUCCUGUCCUUUCCCCUGCAGUGGAUUACAAAGAAGGAGAGCAACUGAGCAGCAGGAGAAAGGAAAGUGGAUUCUGCAGCCUGGACCUCGAAGCCCUGAGAGGAGGGAGAUUAUUUCCAUCCAAUGGAGCACCCUGUAAAGUAGACAUUGCUUGACAGGUGAGGAAUCUGAUUCUCAGAAGAGCUGUACACACAUGGAGACAAAGGAAGAAUCAGGACUUGAUCCAGGAGAAUUGUAGUUCAUGGCCUCGAGGAUGGCCCAGUGACCCUGGCUCCCAGAGUCCACACCAACCGCAGCAGCCAACUUCAACCAGAGCUGGACUUAAAGGCUUGCUUCUCAUACACAAUACCACAGAAAGAAGCAGUGGCUGUCACUGCCAAUACUGGAUUACAAAAAGACUGUGGCUUCCAUCGUCAGCCUCAAACUCUCUCUCUCUCUCUCUCUCUCUCUCUCUCUCCCUCUCUCUCUCCCCAUCAUAAUGAAGGAACCAAGUGACCAUAGGGAACUUCUCUGUCUGGCAUCUGUCGAAAGCCAGUGAGAACCUGCAGCCAUCACUCCAUCGAGUCUUUGAAGAACUGCCUCUUCCAACAUUCAGAUAAGUAGGCUUGGAUAAGGAUUCUCCCAGUCCAGGCUUCAGGUGGCAGCAUUCCUGGUGCACCUCCAUUGCACCUGCGAGACACCCUGAAUAGAGACACCCAGCUAAAUCACAGCCAAAUUCCCAGCCCACAAACUCUGCCAGGCGACACAUGGAUGCUGUAUGAAGCUGCACAGCCCGAGGAUGAUUUGUUAGGCAGCAGCAGAUAACAGGAACACAUGUCUCAUUUCAGAGUCCAUGCUCCCCGCUCGUGUAUCUGGCUGCUUUGCAGUCCUCCACUUCAGCCACCAAACUACUUACCCCGUACCCAAAUGACAGAGACACUCAACAAAUCUGCACCUGAUUCUGGAAAAGGAAGAUAAUAUUAGAAUGCACAUCUUGAGCCAGCACCUCUGAAUGAAAUAAUUAGUGUAGUUUACUACCUGCCAGGGUUUUCAGUCAACGUUUUAAUGAAAUUAUUGUCAUUUAAAAUGAUUGUUACAGUAAAUUGAAUACUGCCUCAGUCUGCCUUAGACUGAAAGUUCCCCGAGGUGCCCUGCUCAUUAGGAAGGCAUGGUGAAGGAGGAUGCCUCACAGAAAGCUGCCUUCACAUAGUCAUUUUACACUCGAACACCGUCAAGAGCCAGGCCCUUGGAGGGAUUCCCAAACAAAUAUAUUUGCAAUUUUUUAAGUCAUGCCUUGAGAUGAGCACCCAGAGAGAUAAAGACAGAGUGAACCAACUAACUCGGGAGAAUAAUAGAAAAUCUCUGGGAGAAAAUACCCCUACAUCAGGCACUUGGGGAGCAGAAGACUUAGACCUGAAUAUAGUGCAUUUGGGGAUAAGAGUCAGUGGGUGAUUUUCUUUCACUUCAUUCAUUUGCCUAUGAACUCAGCAAAUAUGUAUUAGGCAGGCUCUAGCUCUACUGUAGAAGUCUCCAAGACACAGAAUAAAAGACACUGUCAAUCCAAAGCACAACAUUAAGUGGACAUUUAGUUGACCAGGUAGGAAGGUGAGGCAAAACAGUAAGAGGAGAUUAGAGAAAUCUAAUAACACGAGUGGUUGGAUUCUUACAGAAAGCCUUGCUGAACCACUGGGACUGGAUGUGACUUUGGGGAACCAUGUUUGCCAUCAUCCAAAAGGUAUUUUGAGCAUGAAGGAGGGUACGACCCAUGAGUUAGCCUGAAGCUGGCACUGCUCAGGUGAACUCGGAGCUCUGGGCUUCAGAGACCUGAGCAGAGCUGGACACUCCCUGCUAAGCAGAAAGAAUCAUGUGAGAGACCUCUCUGAGUAGAAGUUAAUACAGUUGGUCAAGUGUGGUGGCAGUAGGGGCUACUAGAGUACACGCUCAAUGGAGAUUUGUUGAAAGGAGAAAAGAUAGGAGGAAGAGGAGAGAGGGAAGUCAGGUUGCCAACAGUAAACCCAACCUCUGGGAAGUGAUUUAGUUCUAUCGAAACUCCUAGAGAUAGUGAAGUCUCUUAAAAUCUUUGAUGUUGACCUUGCAUCUUGCUUGACCUUUUACCAUUAGCACAAUUCUCUGAAAGAUCUUUGAGGAUCUUCGUAGAGUGAGAGGUCAUGGGCUUGAAUCUUAGUCCUUUUUUCAAGUGUACAUUUGCAUCACUUCUCAGCCUUUUGGCUAAGAUCAAGUAUAGUAUCACGCAUACGUUUGCAGUAUGUAACAGUUACCUUUGUUUGGGGGAAUUAUUAUAUAUAUAUGUCAUUUCCUGAUCAUUUUCCAUCCCUUUACCUCCCAUUAGGGUUAAGAUCUAAAAUGUCCCCCGAGAUUCUCAUGCAUUCUGAGGCAGGGCCUUUGGGAGGUAACUGGGUCCCGGGCACUGUACUGGUCAGUGGAUGCGGCCACUGGUCAGUGCCACCGUUCAGUGUGCAGUGAGGAGGUGGGACCCAGCUGGGAGAUGAAGUCCCUGGUGUCUCUGCCUCCUGGCCCUGCCUUUCUCUCUCUGCUUCCUGCCUGACCAGAACAGCUUUGCUCUGCUUGCCCUUUCUGCCAGGUGGUUUCUGGGUUUAGGCCUGGUGACUAUGGACUGAACGUGUGCGCCAGAGUAAGCCUCUCCUCUCUCAAGUUAUGGGUGUCAGAUACUGUGUCUCAGCAACAAGAACGGACGAAGACACCUCUUCUGGCUACCUCCCCUCUCUCCCCUGCCCUGCACCCUCCCCCUUUCUCCAAAAACCCUCCCUGUUUCCUACCACCUCUCCUUUAUUCGAAUCUGUAAUUCAUUUAUAUUUCUGGCUUCUCAAAUAGGAGAAACCACAUGAUAUGUGACUUUGGCGACUGACUUAUUUUACUUAACGUUGGAGUCUCAAUUCCACCCAUUUUUCCUGCAGAUGACACGAUUUCCUUCUUCUCCCCAGCUGAAUAUUACUCUGUCGUGUAUACACAAAAUAUUUUCUUUGUCUGUUAGCCCUCUGAUGGACUUCUAAGUGUUUCCAGAGCUUAGCUAGUGUGAGCUGCGUGGCUAUAACCUGGGUGUGCACCUGUCGAUGUAGUGUGAUAUUUUAAGUCUUGUGGGAAUACACCCAGGAGAGGUACACGGGGUCAGAUGGAACCCUCACUUCUAUCCAUUAUUAGUAGUAGCAGUAGUAGUAGUAGCAGUAGUAGUAGUAGUAGUAGUACCGGGGAUCAA
This is a non-coding RNA of Heterocephalus glaber (naked mole-rat), 3351 nucleotides long. NCBI's taxonomy places the organism in Eukaryota, Metazoa, Chordata, Mammalia, Rodentia, Bathyergidae. The record is from RefSeq and is a predicted model, not a curated record.